UGAGUAAGACAGAUGGUCGCGGCUGCGAAUGCCGAAAGGCUGCAGGUGAGGAAAGUCCGGGCUUCACAGGGCAGGAUGCCGGAUAACGUCCGGUAGAGGUGACUCUAAGGAAAGUGCAACAGAAAUAAACCGCCGCGCAAGCGGUAAGGGUGGAAAGGCAGUGUAAGAGACUACCGCCUCGCUGGUAACAGAGAGGGCACAUGUAAACCCCAUCCGAAGCAAGACCGAACAGAAAGCGAUACGGCUGCCCGUCGUGCUUUCGGGUAGGUUGCUAGAGCCGGUUGGCGACAAUUGGAGUAGAUAGAUGACCAUUAAGCAGAUUACUGCGAGACAUAACCCGGCUUAUGGAUUGCUCAAGUA
This 360-nucleotide RNase P RNA is filed under the name Lachnospiraceae bacterium. Its description in RNAcentral is "RNase P RNA component class A". It matches the Rfam family "Bacterial RNase P class A". Rfam says of the family: Ribonuclease P (RNase P) is a ubiquitous endoribonuclease, found in archaea, bacteria and eukarya as well as chloroplasts and mitochondria. Its best characterised activity is the generation of mature 5'-ends of tRNAs by cleaving the 5'-leader elements of precursor-tRNAs. The record is from RNAcentral. Lineage: Bacteria; Bacillati; Bacillota; Clostridia; Lachnospirales; Lachnospiraceae.